AACGAACGCUGGCGGCAUGCCUAACACAUGCAAGUCGAACGAAGCCUUCGGGCUUAGUGGCGCACGGGUGCGUAACGCGUGGGAAUCUGCCCCUUGCUUCGGAAUAACAGUUAGAAAUGACUGCUAAUACCGGAUGAAGUCUUCGGACCAAAGAUUUAUCGGCAAGGGAUGAGCCCGCGUAGGAUUAGGUAGUUGGUGGGGUAAAGGCCUACCAAGCCGACGAUCCUUAGUUGGUCUGAGAGGAUGAUCAGCCACACUGGGACUGAGACACGGCCCAGACUCCUACGGGAGGCAGCAGUGGGGAAUAUUGGACAAUGGACGCAAGUCUGAUCCAGCAAUGCCGCGUGAGUGAUGAAGGCCUUAGGGUUGUAAAGCUCUUUUACCAGGGAUGAUAAUGACAGUACCUGGAGAAUAAGCUCCGGCUAACUCCGUG
This 433-nucleotide ribosomal RNA is filed under the name uncultured bacterium. RNAcentral's name for it is "partial 16S ribosomal RNA". It matches the Rfam family "Bacterial small subunit ribosomal RNA", at positions 29 to 507 of the family's 1533-position model. The record is from RNAcentral.